GCCAGACUCCUACGGGAGGCAGCAGUGGGGGAUAUUGCACAAUGGGGGGAACCCUGAUGCAGCGACGCCGCGUGGGUGAAGAAGUAUUUCGGUAUGUAAAGCCCUAUCGGCAGGGAAGAAAUUGGACGGUACCUGACUAAGAAGCCCCGGAUAACUACGUGCCAGCAGCCGCGGGAAUACGUAGGGGGCAAGCGUUAUCCGGAUUUACUGGGUGUAAAGGGAGCGUAGACGGCAUGGCAAGUCAGAUGUGAAAGCCCGGGGCUCAACCCCGGGACUGCAUUUGAAACUGUCAGGCUGGAGUGCAGGAGAGGUAAGUGGAAUUCCUAGUGUAGCGGUGAAAUGCGUAGAUAUUAGGAGGAACACCAGUGGCGAAGGCGGCUUACUGGACUGUAACUGACGUUGAGGCUCGAAAGCGUGGGGAGCAAACAGGAUUAGAUACCCUGGUAC
This 447-nucleotide ribosomal RNA is filed under the name uncultured bacterium. RNAcentral describes it as "bacterial SSU rRNA". It matches the Rfam family "Bacterial small subunit ribosomal RNA", at positions 330 to 793 of the family's 1533-position model. The record is from RNAcentral.